GACGAACGCUGGCGGCGUGCCUAAUACAUGCAAGUUGAGCGAUGAAGAUUGGUGCUUGCACCAAUUUGAAGAGCAGCGAACGGGUGAGUAACGCGUGGGGAAUCUGCCUUUGAGCGGGGGACAACAUUUGGAAACGAAUGCUAAUACCGCAUAAUAACUUUAAACAUAAGUUUUAAGUUUGAAAGAUGCAAUUGCAUCACUCAAAGAUGAUCCCGCGUUGUAUUAGCUAGUUGGUGAGGUAAAGGCUCACCAAGGCGAUGAUACAUAGCCGACCUGAGAGGGUGAUCCGCCACAUUGGGACUGAGACACGGCCCAAACCCCUACGGGAGGCAGCAGUAGGGAAACUUCGGCAAUGGACGAAAGGCUGACCGAGCAACGCCGCGUGAGUGAAGAAGGUUUUCGGAUCGUAAAACUCUGUUGGUAGAGAAGAACGUUGGUGAGAGUGGAAAGCUCAUCAAGUGACGGUAACUACCCAGAAAGGGACGGCUAACUACGUG
Molecule: ribosomal RNA, 497 nt
Filed under: uncultured bacterium
Lineage: Bacteria
Description: partial 16S ribosomal RNA
Rfam family: Bacterial small subunit ribosomal RNA
Source: RNAcentral